GUCGGGCCGUACGGACAGUGUCCGCCGAUCGGCGGCCGCGAUCCUCUGCGACCGCUUGGAUCUGUUUUCACACCGGGAACAGCCCGGGUCACCCCCGCUGGUCGCUCUCCCGGUCCCCGGCCCGGGGAAUCUCGUUACACCGGUGCUUGAUCCGAGUCCCCCGGCCCCGCUGCCGGCUCAGGGCGGUGUUUAACAGGGCUGGGCAGGGACAGGGGCUCCGUCCGCCUCCCCGCAGCCGAACAGCAGCACCUUCCCGGGAGGGCUUCGAGCCCCGGACCGUCGGGAUCGGCACCGGGCGCGGCUGCGGGCGGGGCGGGCGCGGCCCACACUACACUUCCCGUCGGGCCGUGCUGCCGCGGGACCCGCCCCCGCCCCUCCCGGCAUCCGGUUGGCCGCCUCCCCGCUGCCGGCCGUCCCCCUCCUCCUCCCGUUGGCUGCCGGAGCCGUCGCUCCGCGGGGGGUUGAAGGAGGGUGGGGGAGCGGCGGGGCGCUGGCGGCACGCGGAGCUCGGCGCUGCGGGACGGGAUGGAACGGAACGGAACAGAACAGGACGGGAUGGAACAGAACAGGACGGGCAGCUCCUGCACGAGGCAGGCGGAGAUGGAGGCGAUUUGCAGCCCCUUUCUGCUGUUUCUGUAUCACAGUUCCUGACCUACCGUACUGGUGCUGAAUGAUGCUUCCCCCUUAGUUUGGGAACGCAUUGCCUGGAGGCCCUGGGAAAAGCCGUUCUGUGUGAGGCUGCCCCUGUGAGCCACAUAGGAGGAAGACUUUGGGCUGCAGGAGAAAUUGGCAGCUGGGAGUGUUUUAUGUCAUACAUCUAAAGCACUGUGGAACAAACUUUACUAUGUGAAAACUAAAGAGCUGCAUGGAGUGGUGAGGAGCUCAUGUUGCUCUGUUAAACCAACACAGAACUCACUGAGCAGGAGCUAAAAGCACCUGCACAAUGCUCUGGCACUGAGCUGUGUGCUGCCCUCCUGCAGGCACUGCUGUGCAUGAGGCUGCUGCCCCGGGUGGGACACCAGGAGGUGCAGGGCUGUGCAUGCAGGGUGAGUCCUGCGUGGCUCUCAGCAUGGCAUGGAUUUGGGGAGCUCUCCCCUCAUCCCUGCAGUUCAUCUCCCUGCACUCUGCUCGCACUCAGAGGCACAGCCCUGUGGGCAGCUGGCACUCGGGUACGGUGCAACACAGGCAGACCUCCACCUUGAUUUCUUCAGCAAACCUUUGCAGGCAAAAUCACUUUUUGUUUGUUUGCUACAAGUCUGAUUAUCGCUCUUUAUCCUUUCUUAAUUGCACCAAAGAAACCUCUUGGGUGUGUGCAAUAAAAACGUGCAUGAGUGCAGCUGGCAGCACGGCGAGCCCAACACGGCCAUAUAGAGCACCCAGCUCCAGCAAUCCCAGCAGUGCCGUGGGACAACCUGAGCCAUGUUUCUGUUCCAUUGAAGUUUCCUGUAAUUGACUCAAUCGGUGAGGUUUGCUUGAAUUUGCUGCCACAAUACAGACUUAAGUUAAAUGUGUCGUUAAGGUUAAUUUUGCUUACCUAUGCCUAUGUGCCUUGGGCAUAUGCAGUAAGUAUGACUGGCUAUAGUGAAGGGGAGGGGGGGUAGAAAGAAAGCCUGUUUCUUUAUGUCUCACCCAGUUUUCCCUUCCAGCAGCCACCUCUGCUGGCAGCUGCCUCCCGGUGCCGAAGGAGCUGCAGGUGAGGGGCCGCUGUUUCAAAGCACAGAGCCAGUCUGAGCUUCCAGGCUGAUCCAGGGAACAGGAAUUGCGCUGUGCUAAUGAACUCGUGAUGGAUUGAUCUCCUGCUCCUCCUGAAGGAGGCAUUUCACAGCUUUUUCAUUCUUUAAACAUCAGCUGAUAUCCUCCACACUAUGAACUAUGCUUUAGAGUCGUCUGGUAGAACUAACACCAAGACAACCUGUGUGGUUAUUUGAGAGGCUGCAGGAUGGCUGAGGAUCUUUAGAUGGACCGAGAAGAUGAUGGGGAAGACUUGGUAGCAGCAAAGGAGCAAGGAGUCUGCAAUCCCAGCUUGUUUCCUCGUUCAGCUUGUGGCACGUCAUGUGGCCGAUGAGCCCAGUGAGACCAGUUUAAGCAGCGCAGCAGUUCAUGGAUGGAAGAAGAGUCCUCGUUUCAGAACACCUAAACACGAAGAUCUUACAAAUGCUGUUAGGAGAGCUGGCGUGCAGGAGGAAUGAAUCUGGUCUGUCUUCUGUGAUUCUUGACCCACCUAAUUGGCUAAUGGCCACAAGCAAUAACAGCACGGCUCAGGGGAGCAGCGCUGGGGAGAGCUGCAGCCGCUCGGGGCAGAGGAGCACUGCGCCGUACCAAAGGCAUUGCAUGUGAACUGUUUCCCUUCUAGAUCCUGCCGUCAAUGACCAAACCUCCCUGAAAUCUUCUUAUCAGUUGCUGCCAAGAUGAGAAGGAUAGCAGGAAAGAGGAGUGCGUUAUUGCUCCCGUUAUGCAAGGAAGUUGAACUGUUUUCCUGAGCACACCCAGAAUUAAUGCAGCCCAAGCUGAUCAGGUUAUCACAUGCUGGUUACUGCUGGUCUGGGUCGUUCUGAUGGAAGAGCAGGAAGCACACAGACCAGCUGCAUCGAUGGCUUGUCUGGAAAGGGGUGUCACCAACACGGGAGUUGUGGAGCUGGUGGCAAUAGUUUGGUGUGUUCAGCAGGAGCAGCUGCAUCUCUAAGGUAAAACAUUUGACCUGCUGGAAAGCAGUGGAGCUGUGUUGAGUGUAAUAUUUGUAUUUCAGAGAUGUACCGGAUCAUGUGAAGUAAACCUUUGCUCUGUGACUUGUACUCUUCAAUGUGAAUGGAGAGAGGUGGUGUGAGUGUGUGUAGCUUACAGGGGAUGGUGAUUUCAGGGAAAUCCUCUGUGGUAAAGGUCCUCGAAUGGUACAGAUGAUUCCACAUAUAGCAAACACGCUGUUGUGUGAACACGCUCAUCAGAGAGCUGGUUUAACCACUCCAUGCCUUGGAAGAUGGCUUUUGACCUUUGGUGUCCUGACCUGCUUUAAGCAAAAAGGGAAGAGCUCUUCCUUCUGCAGCAGAGCCUGUCUGCCUACUGACUGCUGCUGGUCUGAUUACUGCAAUAAGGGCAGGAUUCCAGGAAGACAUGUAAGCUCUGGAUGUUCCCUGUGCCAGUGUGGGUGAUCAUUGUACUGGAGGCAUUCUGGGUAAAACCACACGUUUCUUCGAACCUGUCCCUUUUUUGCAUGAAGACUGUGGAUUGUAGGUGCUGUCCCAUUAACAGGAUUUGGGCAGACAAAGAACAAGAGGCUUUCUGAGCAGUCAGAAACCUGAGAGCAGCAACUUUGCUCGUGUCUCCUCUUGGGGCACUGCUAGAUGAAAAGAAUUCAGUUCAGUCACAGAAAGGACUGAGCUUCCACCUCAGCUGGUGCUGCAUUUGAUACCUUUUAAUUGGUUCUGAGCAAAAGAAUGAGGAAGUAUGCGCUGGUCUCUCUCAUGUGCCGUGUGUAAGGGAGGAAAAUAACAUGAUCUCUGGAGAAGAACUUAGUGCACAUCAGCGAUAGCACCACGGCACUGCUUUGCAGGAGAGAACAACUUCCCCUGACUGGUGUAUCCUCAGCAGCACUGCUGUGCCACGGUACCUUCAGACAAAAGCUGUUCCCCAGCCUCAUGCUGGCCUCAAAAGUAUGAGGAGAUGAGACUUGGGCAUACUUAGGACUAAGGCAGGUAAUCCCAGGCUGGGGACUGUGCAUAAACUUAGAGUGGGUAGUAUUUAACAAUUGCGGAUGGAAAGAAAUGAUAGGUGUGAUGUGACUGUGUGAGUUACAUCAAAAAAAGUGUGGCUUUCCUGCCAAGUUUUCAGUUAAUUUGGCUAUGCACUGCUGUACACCGGGGAAAAAAAUCGAGCUUAUCUACCAAACUGUUUUUUAAUCAUGUUAGCCUCUCCUUGCAGUGCAGUGCUCAGUGCACGUGUAGCUCAAGGAGGCAAACCACAUGAUUUCCAAAAUCCUCAGUUUGCCACUAAUGCAGCCUCUGAGGUGAAGGUGAAGGUGGCUCCAGGCACGGGGCUGAGUGCUGUGACAGCAGCCUGAGGUCAGGCCCCUGCUGAGCUCUCUGUGUUCAGAAAUGAAGCACCAUGUCCCAAGGACUGCUGACACAUCUGUGGCUGCUGAGGGCUGAGCCUACAGAGCUCCUUCAGACAGCCUGGAAUCCUCACAUCCUAAUGUGGGCCAUUGUCAUACCCGUGUUAAAAUACUUAAUGAAAUACUUGUGGCUUUCUAACCACCCUUUUUGUCUACUCAAGUGUUAAUACCAUAUAGUUAUACAUAAUUAAACCAGUACUGUAAAAUAACAUCUGUCUUAUGUAGAGCAUUGUCAUGGCUACGUUAUGCCAGUGAGUAAAAUUUUAUGUCUGAGCACUUAAAAUGAUCAAGUAUUAUAGUUAAGACUGUCAUAUUGUUUAUGUAGCACUAAAAAGAAAACAAAAAUUCAGAGCAGAUAUAUGUGUGUAUGUAAUAAUAUAUAUAUAUAUAAUACAUAUAUAUAUAUAUAAUUUUUUUCUUAUAAAUACACCAAAUAAUAGGUUGGUUUCAACUAGACUUUCUGGCUCUUCAGUGGUUGCUGCAUUCUGUAUGAAUAUAUCAGGAUCCCAGACAUAUAAUGAUUUAUUUUCAUUAUUACAAACACUUGGUUUCUCUGUACAUUCGCCACAGAUUUGUUGGACAAAACACAGUUUCCCUUCCUGAAUAGGAUUCUACUCUUACUUUCAAACUCCUCUAACUUGAGUUCAAUCUUGGUUGAAUAAGAAGUGUUCCUGACAAAAAUCUGCUUAGAAGAGAGGAAGGUACCUCAGUAACAAAGAGCCGGGGCAUGGCAGCUCCCACUGAACUGCAGGGCACGUUUCUUUAAGUCCUUCCUUUAAAAACGACAACAAAAACAGUUGGGACAAGUGGAACAAAACCAACUAAUUUGGCAAGUCUCCUCUCUUCUACAAUCAAGCAAAACUGCUGUUUAACAUCGCCGCACUCGGUUCCAAGGAGUGUGCUGUUCCAUUGGCUUUAGGUGGGUUUAUUUCCUCCCUCCAUCCAGCCCUGUGCCAAUUAAUCAAAGCAGCACGAGGUGUUUUGUUUUUUCCAGAGCGACUGUCUUUUGUGUAGUGCUGCAAAGUGUAACGUCGCCUCAUUGCUAGAAAUAAUUAUUAGGUCUAAAAUAAUCUGACAGCGUCCUGCUGUGUGUAAAUGAGGUUUGUCCUCUGCUAAGAUCAGUUUGCUGGCACCCAUUCGCCAACACAUCACAAAAAAGCGGUGGCGAGUUGAUCGCAUCCGGUUAUCUGCCUUUUUUUUUUCUUCUUAAUGGGCUUUUUGUUGCUGUGCUGUCACCCAGGUUGAAAUAAAUGCAUGCAAGUCGUGCGAUUCAAAGUUCUGUGCAGCCUGGGGAGAUGGUAGUGGCUCUUCAGCAGCAGGUUCAGGGGCACAGGCACUGCAAAAGGGAAGCGGCUGUUUGCACUUCAACUUCUGAAUCUUGUGCAACUUUGGUUUUGGCCAGCUUGGGGAUCUUCUGCUCUCAGGCAAGCAAUAUGUUAUCGGGGAGGUCCCAAAUGCCGGGUAUAAUUAGCUCGUGUGUUCAGAGGGGUGUUGUUAUGGUUUGACGUGUACAUGCAAGCCUGCUUUCAUGCAGGAGAAUAUAUUUGACAUGGGAAGAAUGCGGUGUGAUUCAGAAGAAGUUAGAAACGUUGUUUCAAGUUGUGCAGCAGUGUUUCACAUUUCACAAAAGGCCACGAAGUUUUUAUUCCUACGUUUAUGAUUGAUUAGGGUUAGAGUUUUAAAAGCUUAACUCAGGCUAUAAGUACUUUGUAGUCAGUCACUGCGAAUUACAGGCUUGGCAUAACUGACAUUUCUAUUCUUCAGUAUAUCCAUUAUUGUUAGAUGCUGAGCAGUCAUUGCACACAGAUGACUGAUUAUUUUAUUUUAUUUUACAGUUUUACACGUGUGGAAAAAUACUUUGUUAAAGCAGCUCCUGGGCGAAUGGGGUAAUUAAAGAGCUGCGCCGCUUUUAUUGGAGCUGACACACGCUGCAUGUUCUUUAAAACCCAGUAUGUGAGCAGAAUGCUUCCAGGAUUUAUUGCCCAUCAGACAAGUCGAGAUACUUUUAACAGGAGUAAAGGUAACUUCAGUUUUUACACUGUUAAAUAAAACUGUCUUUAGGAAGGGAACUGUUGCUGUGAUACAUUGCUCAUGCCCUUGGUUUUUUUCUGUAUACAUUCCAUAGGCACACCUGCACACAAAUGCUGAAGACCCGAGACUUUGAUUUGAUGGUAAUUGUAUGUUCUGUUUCUAUUUAUCUGGAGAAAAAAUAGCUUUCUAAUGCUGACUGAGGAUCCUAGUUUGCUCGGUGCCAGAGGAAUCCUGCAGUUGGUUUCUUUAUUUAAACUGAAAUGCAAUCCUGCUUAGUUUGACUUGCAGCUCUUAGUGCCUGAGAGCUUGGUGUAGCAAGCGAGGAAUCUCAUGUAACAUAAAUUGGAGACCUGGUUUUGCUUUAAAUGAUGAGUGCAAUGUUCUUCAUACAUAACACCUUCCAAGGAGUGACAAAAAAAUAGACUCAUAACUGCAGCACACAGUGAUUAAGUGCGCUGUACACAAAAUCCCUCAGACUGGCUGUAGAACAGAUACAGUCACUGACAGUGUCAUUUUUAGUGAUGUGAUCCAUUUCCUUUGCUUUGAUUUCUUUUUCCAGAAUAUGGGAACAAUCUGAAGUCCAUUUGAGAACACUCAGUCUGCCUAGUCUACCUUUCCUAUUAACAGUUCAUGUCUUAGAAGCAUCUUUAACAUUCCUUUUUUAAAGCUAUGAAUAUUUGUUUAGAUCAGAGUUCACAAACACAUAGCUCUCAAUAUCAAGCCAUUUCUUUGCUCACUUUGCAUGCGUUUUGUUCACACACACAGCUCGUGGUAUGGAGCACCCUGCCAAGCACACUUCUGGGCUGCAGUGAGAAGCGGAUGACCAAUGCUGCACACAGCUAAGCAUGCAGCCUUAUCAGCAAGCAUGCUUUAGGUAGGUAUGGGUGCAAAGUGCUUUCUUGGAGGAGCAGGCAGGUGUGGACAAUAUCAGAAGGCCACGUUCUUCUGCUGUGACUCCUUGGAGCAAGCCCAGCACCGGGCUGACACCAGCAGCAGCAGCCACACCUCUGCCAGCCCCAGACAGUGCCAGGUGUGUGGAAGCUGUGUGCCUGGGAUCAGUGGGAAGGGACACAGCAGGGGAGGCAGGUGCUGCUGUAAAUGUGCUGUUUGUUGUUUUCUGAAUGCUUCCAGGUGAAAGCACAGCUGUCUCCAUGCUGACAGCAAGUCACAGAGUCACAGCGCUGACCAGCUUUUUUUUUUUUUUUUUUUCCCCAAAGUCUUCUUUUAAAAUAGUUACAAUUAAAUCACAGACAGCUUUUGCAUGGCAAGCCGGGUAUGGCGAGUAUGGUGGUGUUAUUUAAUGAGAGAUAAGAAAUGAUUUGGCAACAUGAAAUUCUUAGUAGCAUCAUGUAUCAUCUGUGUUGUGUGUGGUUGCAAAAGUGUUGCUCUUGCUGUUACUUGCCUUAAGGCCAUCCUGCUUUCACUUCCCUAUUUGGGGACAUUUAAGCUGUAAAGCUCUGAACACUUUUUAUGUUUGUCUUGCUAUUAUUGCUUGCCAUAAAGUAUAAUAAUAAAACACGAUAUUAAAGCUGAAGCUGAAGAAAUAUGAUUUGGUGGCUAUGAAUAAAAAACAUGGACAAGUUU
Coturnix japonica (Japanese quail) is the source of this 7720-nucleotide non-coding RNA. The record is from RefSeq and is a predicted model, not a curated record. Lineage: Eukaryota; Metazoa; Chordata; Aves; Galliformes; Phasianidae.